AUGUUUUUGCCAAAUGGAGCCAAGUUCUUCACUGUGGGCCUGGCGGCUGUGACAUGGGCCAUCUGGCUGGCUCGCAAUAGAGCUACCUUUGAGAAGAAGUUGAUUAAAUCUCCGUUUGAGAUUGUGUUUUCGGCUUGUUCCUUUCUUUUGUAUUGGGCAGGAUUUCAGAAGCAGGGAGACGCGGAGGACCUACGCCAAGGCGCAGAGAUGAUCCGCUCGAGCACAACCAGGCUGAUGGCGAUGUGUGAGAAGGCCAGGAGUGUGAAGGAUGAGGAUGGAGAAGUGUUGGCUUGGUGA
Molecule: ribosomal RNA, 297 nt
Filed under: Triticum aestivum (bread wheat)
Lineage: Eukaryota; Viridiplantae; Streptophyta; Magnoliopsida; Poales; Poaceae
Description: partial small subunit ribosomal RNA
Source: RNAcentral